Molecule: long non-coding RNA, 1223 nt
Filed under: Phoenix dactylifera (date palm)
Lineage: Eukaryota; Viridiplantae; Streptophyta; Magnoliopsida; Arecales; Arecaceae
Description: long non-coding RNA (PDAC_LNC015400)
Source: RNAcentral
UGUUUAAGUUUAUGAUUUGACAAGGGAUCUUUGUUAUUGAGUAGAGACUUUGAUUUUGGAGAUAGAUAUUGAAAUUGGAAUGCUUGCUAACUGGGCUCGUAGCCAAAGUGUGGAUCAGCUAUGUUGGGCGUCCUCUCGGUGGAUAUUUCAGGUUAUGAUUAAUUGGAUUUUGACCAAAAUUUAAUGAAAGAGGAUUGAUCAUGGAAUAUUAUCAUACAAUGUAAUUAUUUGUUUAUUAGUCAAUUUGGAAGUUCAUUUUAAUAUAGGGGUAUAUUGUAAUAUUACUUCUAGCUUGAAGUUAAUCAUUAUGUGGCAAGUUUGGAUCUCUUCAUAAGAAAUUGUUUAAGAUUUAAGCUAUAAAAGAUUUUUAUGCUACCUAUUUAGAAUACUCUUCGAGGUUUGAACAUGUUUGGGGAGUAUGAAUGAAACUCUUAUGUUGAAGAAAAAUAUAUUGGAUACUCUUCGAGGUUUGAACAUGUAUGAAUGAAACUCUUAUGUUGAAGAUUGUGAGUUAUUGCAAAUAGGUUAUUUUCUUAUUUAAGAAUUGAUGUUAUUGUAUUCAUCUUGGUGGAAUUACUAAUAAUUUUAAUUAUCGUCUUUGGAUCCAAAUAAUAGAUCUUAUUCAUGUUUAUCGGGACUGUAUGAUGUAUAUGGAAUUUCAAUUCAAAGUUUGGAAUUAUAAGUUAAUCUAGGGUCUUUUGUCAAUAUUGUUGAGGUUAUUUUGAAACCUAAAUUUGAAGACUUAGAUGGUUAUGACGGAAGAUCUUUGAGGUUUGACUCAUUUGUGUUGAAUUAAAGUCUUGUAAUUUGGUGGAGCCUAGUUAUAAGAAUUUGACUUAGAAAAUUAAGUAACGCCCAUAUGAUGAUUUCUAAGGUUAUAAGAGUUUGAUUUGGAAUCGUUCAGUUGAAUUGAUAAAAGAAUUAAGAUUCAAUACAUUUUGGGAAUUACAGUAACGAGCCCAUAUGAUGAUUUUGAAUGGAACAAUUGACUUGAGAGUUAAUCUGGAUUAGAUGUAUUCAAUAAUCAAAUAUUCUUUCUUUUAGGCUUUACUUGGAAAUUGAAAAUAUGGAUCUCUUUAGUUCAUAAUACAAGUAGUAUUUUAAUCAAAACUUAUUAGUGAAUCCAAGGAUUUUAGUGUUUUGAAUCAGAGUGCGCAGCGAAAACAUGGUGGAAUGUUAGAUAAAAGACUAAGUAACUUCAUUUGUUUAAGAAUUAAGGAAUC